GACGAACGCUGGCGGCGUGCUUAACACAUGCAAGUCGAACGGAAAGGCCCUGCUUUUGUGGGGUGCUCGAGUGGCGAACGGGUGAGUAACACGUGAGUAACCUGCCCUUGACUUUGGGAUAACUUCAGGAAACUGGGGCUAAUACCGGAUAGGAGCUCCUGCUGCAUGGUGGGGGUUGGAAAGUUUCGGCGGUUGGGGAUGGACUCGCGGCUUAUCAGCUUGUUGGUGGGGUAGUGGCUUACCAAGGCUUUGACGGGUAGCCGGCCUGAGAGGGUGACCGGCCACAUUGGGACUGAGAUACGGCCCGAACUCCUACGGGAGGCAGCAGUGGGGAAUAUUGCACAAUGGGCGGAAGCCUGAUGCAGCAACGCCGCGUGCGGGAUGACGGCCUUCGGGUUGUAAACCGCUUUCGCCUGUGACGAAGCGUGAGUGACGGUAAUGGGUAAAGAAGCACCGGCUAACUCCGUG
RNAcentral lists this ribosomal RNA (468 nucleotides) under uncultured bacterium. RNAcentral describes it as "partial 16S ribosomal RNA". It matches the Rfam family "Bacterial small subunit ribosomal RNA", at positions 28 to 507 of the family's 1533-position model. The record is from RNAcentral.